Molecule: long non-coding RNA, 1177 nt
Filed under: Homo sapiens (human)
Lineage: Eukaryota; Metazoa; Chordata; Mammalia; Primates; Hominidae
Description: HSALNT0110392
Source: RNAcentral
UCCAAACCCACCCUUUCUGUUUGCAGCUGUAAUGCUGGGUAGAAAGAGUGCAUUUAACAGUUAUUUGGUUUAUUUGAUUGAAGCUGGGUCCUUCCCAGCAGUGCCUUGUCCCAGCAGUGCCAUAUAAUGAAUCUCUGUAUCCAGUUGUUGCAUCAGGAAAGCAAGAGUGGAACAGUACUUCUAGGGAACCACUUGGGUGCCCAGCUGCUGUCCAUUCUCUACACUUAUCCCACCUGAUGGAAGGCUGUUAAGAAAAACAUCACUGCAAUGCCUAAUAAACAGACAUGGGUCCCAGACCCAAUAAGAGUGAAACCAUCCCCCUAUUUAAAUGAAAUUAUGGCUGAUGAGAAAGACAAAUUAAUUUCUCUGUCCCUAGUAUUACACAAAACUUUGGAUGCUGCCAUUGUUACAAUUUUAUUUUCCCCAGGAGCUCAGAGUCCCACCUUCAUUCUUUUUGUUUAAUGCUUAAGCUUGCCUGUCCACCUAUGGAAGACUAGAAUGAGCAAAGACCAUGUAUUCAAUGAUCUGUAAAUCUAACAGGAAACAAUAUAAUAAAUAUAUUGUGUUUGCUAACCAAAUCUGUGAAUGAUUAGAUCGACUGGUUAAUGAUUAGAUGGAUUAACACAUCAUUUCUAUUUUCUCUCUCCUCCCCUACUUCUUGUUUUAAUGAUACCUUCCAAGUUUUAUUUCUCCAAGCCUAACCCCUUACAUAAUACAAGAGGACAACAGUUUGCAAAAUAAAUAUCUGUUGGCCCUAACUGGUAAAUACUGAAAUAGAUUUCAAGUAAUGUGAGUGUUUUUGAAACCACCUAAAUCUGUAAGCCACCCUGCAAGGAACAAGGGUAGCAAAGUGAAUAAGCCAGACAUGUAAAAAUAAAGAUGACAAAAUGGAAGGCAAUUAAUGCCUGUAAUGGAGGUGGGGAAGGGGGGAAUGACAAGUUAAUAAGAAAUUUAUUUUUAAAUGCUAUCAUCUGCCAUAAAAUAUCCAUGCUUAUUUUAGAAAAUAUGUAAAAUGUUUAAGAAUUAAACAUCUUUAAAAAAAUCACAUGAACUCAUCACCCUGCAACAAAACACACACAGAUGAGUGCACACACUUAAACACACAUUAAUUUUCAAUUAGUAUAUAAAGUUAAUAUCCUGCUAAGUACAAGAUACUAUAUCAUGAGCACUUUGUCUC